GAAACAAGCCCCAUCUUCUUCAGAUUGCAAUCACGAGGGACUGGAAGAACAUGAAGCCAGAGGGUUACUCAAAGCAAAGAGACUCGGGAGUGACCAAGGAGACAAGCCCUUCAGGAGAGAACAAGGAAGAAAGAGGAAGACUGAAGAGUAACUGUGCAUUGGUGUCUAGCAUAGCCGUUAGAUUUCCCUCUGUCCUGGGACUGGUUCUAGGGCUUUGUGUGUGCUGAGCAUGCGUCCUACGACUCAGGUACAUCCCUCGCCCGUCAGAUCUACUGAAGACAGAACAGUUGUUCUGACCUACAUGAACCAAUGAGACGGGCCAUGCAGAAACCCCUAAAUUCCAUUCUCCUUUCAUGCAUAUAUAUUAUGUAUUCUUUGUUUUGUUUUGAAAUGA
Molecule: long non-coding RNA, 394 nt
Filed under: Rattus norvegicus (Norway rat)
Lineage: Eukaryota; Metazoa; Chordata; Mammalia; Rodentia; Muridae
Description: long non-coding RNA NONRATT027888
Source: RNAcentral